RNAcentral lists this ribosomal RNA (601 nucleotides) under Hydrochus megaphallus. RNAcentral's name for it is "SSU rRNA". It matches the Rfam family "Eukaryotic small subunit ribosomal RNA", at positions 22 to 602 of the family's 1831-position model. The record is from RNAcentral. Lineage: Eukaryota; Metazoa; Arthropoda; Insecta; Coleoptera; Hydrochidae.
AGUCAUAUGCUUGUCUCAAAGAUUAAGCCAUGCAUGUCUCAGUACAAGCCAAAUUAAGGUGAAACCGCGAAAGGCUCAUUAAAUCAGUUAUGGUUCCUUAGAUCGUACCCACAUUUACUUGGAUAACUGUGGUAAUUCUAGAGCUAAUACAUGCAAACAGAGCUCCGACCGGAGACGGAAGGAGCGCUUUUAUUAGAUCAAAACCAAUCGGUGUCGGGUUCGCUCGUCAUCGUACAUUUUGGUGACUCUGAAUAACUUUUUGCUGAUCGCACGGUCUAGCACCGGCGACGCAUCUUUCAAAUGUCUGCCUUAUCAACUGUCGAUGGUAGGUUCUGCGCCUACCAUGGUUGUAACGGGUAACGGGGAAUCAGGGUUCGAUUCCGGAGAGGGAGCCUGAGAAACGGCUACCACAUCCAAGGAAGGCAGCAGGCGCGCAAAUUACCCACUCCCGGCACGGGGAGGUAGUGACGAAAAAUAACGGUACGGGACUCAUCCGAGGCCCCGUAAUCGGAAUGAGUACACUCUAAACCCUUUAACGAGGAUCAAUUGGAGGGCAAGUCUGGUGCCAGCAGCCGCGGUAAUUCCAGCUCCAAUAGCGUAU